AACAAGAAAAGUGGAAAAAUGCUGAGAAAAAAAGAGUUGGAAGUUAAUGAGUUGUCCCUUUUUGGCUACCGGGUUGCCUCAGCCUUGUUACGUUUCUUUUUCUGUUUUUUUUUUUUU
RNAcentral lists this non-coding RNA (117 nucleotides) under Palpitomonas bilix. The record is from RNAcentral.